Molecule: long non-coding RNA, 3917 nt
Organism: Chroicocephalus ridibundus (black-headed gull)
Lineage: Eukaryota; Metazoa; Chordata; Aves; Charadriiformes; Laridae
Exons: 6
Source: RefSeq, a predicted model, not a curated record
CACGGAGACACACAGAGGGACCGGGGGCACCGCGUGUCCCCGCGGAGCGGCGGGUGUGUGCGCGCCCUCCCGCCCUCCAUGUCCGCAUUCCAGCUCAUGUUGCGCAGAUAAAAUUCAAACUUGAGGUAAACACAAGCGGGGGGGGGGUGCGUGUGUGUGUGCGCUGAGGAGGAGGAGUGGGGGGGGAGAAGAAGAGGCGAGAGAGAGGGAGGCAGGCUCGCUCCAUCCCGGCUCCCCACCGCUCCGCACCCACCGAACCCCCACGCACCUGGCUGCUAGCGACCAGCUUCCCCCCCCCGGCCCAUCACCCGCCCCCCCCCGCCGGCCGGUCCCUUCGCAGGGGCCGCCGGCGCUACUUGGCUUCCCCGGGGGAGGGAAAGGCUGGCGCCCCCCUCCUCGCAUCGGACACGGCAAGUGAGGUUUUCACCACCGUUCCGUUACCCCAUUGCUGCAGCCAACGCAGAUCCGAAUGCCGUGGCUACAAAGGCUUGUUACUUUCUCAUGCUGGAUCCCUCAAAUCCAAGAGCUACUUGGCAGUUUCCAAGGCAACCACCUGUGGAAUAAUUAAAAAGGAUGAAGUGUUAGUGUGCCAGAUAUAAGGAAUUCUUGCCCGGAGAAAACACUUCAUUUUCAUCUGUCUUGAAGAAUCAAAUGUGUUUCUGCCAGCAAAGUUAAGCUUAAAGGGUAUGCAGUAAUUAAAUUGAUACUGAAACUGAACCGAUCGUCAGGCUUAGCUGCUUUGGUGAAGCAGCAGCUAAAACCAUUUUGAAGACCACAUUCCCAGAUUCAGAGCUGAAAUUGCAUAGUGGAGAAACCAAAAGAAGAAGAAAUGGUGACCGAGUUGUACAAGCAAACCAGGGCAAUCGAAAAAGUGACUCAAAGCAGGAGCCAGCAGAUGGCUGCGUCGUUACUGGUGGCCACAGCCUUACGAGAUGAGUUUUGGAAUUCCCAUCAAAGUCGGGAUUAGGCUCAGGAUAUGCCGGUGGCACAGAGGAGCCCGGGGGCAGCGUGGAAGAAGAGGAAAUCAUUCCUAGCGACUCAUCUUGUGGUUGGUGGGCAAGUUUUCAGCUGGUGAUUUAUCAACAAAGUAUUUUACAGGAUCAUUGUUAAAAACUCUUUAAAAAAAAAAAAAUAUAUCCUGUGCGAUAGGGAAAGUAAAAGCAUCUCAGUUUCCAAAUGAUGAAGGAAUAACCGAAAGAGCUAGUUCUUGGAAUAGUAGCUCCAUUGGCACUCGUUGGUGAUUUCCUGUGCAUUUGCUGCAAGAAUCACUGGGUGAUGUGAGUAGGUGGUACUAAAGGGUUAUUACGAAACCAAUUUUCAACCAGACGUUUUGAGUCAUGGAUCGGGAAGAGGGAUAGCAGCUUCGGAGCUUUCUCUUUGUUCGAGCAGUGCGCCUGAAAUGCACACGCAGGAUAUUCUGUGCUUGCCCGGAACAAGGCAGACUGGGGAUAGGUCUGGUAUUCCAUGUAGUGUCCUUCUUCUUCCCACUCCAUCACGGGGAUGGGAAACGAGAACAUGGGCUGAGAGCCGGCAGCAGCAGCGCAAGGUGCACGAGGAGCAGAUUCCUGGCUGUUUUUCGAUUGUAAGUAUUUUCUCCUGGUUUUUCCCCAGACGUGAGAGACAAAAUGGAGUUGCGUCAGGACGGAUGUCUGUGCCAAGACGAGGUGGUGGUUUGGAGCGGUUUGGUUCUGUUCUGGAAGCAGAUGGGCUGCCACUGGCAGGAGACAGUUGGCGUCUCCAUCAGAAAAAAAAAAAAAAAAGGGGGUGUUUAAGGGAAUUGGUCUGGCUCCUAAACCGAAGGAAUUGUUGACCUACUGACUCAGUUAUGAAGCAUUAGGGAAGUAGUCUUACUGUGGUUUCUUUUGUUGGUGGCAGAUUCAGAAGACGUUUGUGAGCGUACGGGUAUGACUAGCAAAGAGAGACGGUUCUAGUACCUGCUGCCUGUGGGAUUUAUUUUGUGCCAGGAAGGAGCUGAGGUGCUGACUGCUGAAUUACACCUAAACUUGAUUUCUGAUGCUUCUCCUGAUAAUGCAUUGGUAAGUUUACGUACUUCUCGUUUUCAGCGCUAAGAUGGUAUCUGGCUAAAUGUAAUUGAAAGAAAGCUCUUUAACAGCUGUUAGAAUGUGGCACGGUGCGGUUGUUUUUUCACUGAAGCAGCUUUUAUAGAAGACACUGGCUGGCCUGCUGCAGUUCAGGAGUCUGUAAAUAAGGGGGAAAACUUUGUUGAUCGGGUCGACAAAAACAACUGGAAAUUGCUGAUCUCUCCCGCCUUUAACGUACAAACCUUUACCAACAUUGGUACUAAGCAAAGAGGGUGGGCCAGCCCUCCGGCUUUGGGAUCCUGUUGUCCCGGAGUCAUGGCUACGCUGUGAUUUUCCUGUUACACAUUGCUGAAUGAACAAGGCUUCGGUCUUCUUGAAUUUCACAUGAAAAUCAGAUGUCUGUCCCUGGAAUUAAAUCUAAUGAUACUUUUCCUAAAAUAUGCCUAGAAUAGAAAUGAUGUUAUUUUUAAGUGGUUCUGUAAAUCCCAAGGAAAAAAAGCUAUCAAUUAGUGGUUUCUCAGAAAACCCAGAUCAUUAACAUACUAUUGGCUAGAAGGAAUCACGUUGGUCGAUGGCGCUAGGUCUGGAAGUCGUGCUCCUGAAUCUGCUGUCAACUCUGCCACUGGUUUGGGGAGGAAUUUUUUGGAGGGGGAGCUUCUUGUGCAAGGCAUUUAUUCAUAGUUGUCGAUAAAAUGAGGAUAGUGAUAUUUAACUUCCCUUCAGUGCUUUACCAGCAUUAUCACCCUGUUUUCCUUUUAGAGAGGAUGCUGAUACGUGAUGCCGUGGCUCUUGGAUUUCGUUGUUUUGUAGGCGUAGAUUAUGAGAAGAUGGGGAAAGCAGAAUAGUGGUUACUGAACAGAUCCUACAGGAAGGAUGGGGAGGGACUCUCUAUCAGGGAGUGUAAUGAUAGGACACGGGGUAAUGGCUGCAGACUGAAAGAGGGUGGAUUUAGAUUGGAUAUCAGGAAGAAAUUCUUCACGGUAAGGGUGGUGAGGCACUGGAGCAGGUUGCCCAGAGAAGCUGUGGCUGCCCCAUCCCUGGAGGUGUUCAAGGCCAGGCUGGAUGGGGCUUGGAGCAACCUGGUCUGGUGGCAGGUGUCCCUGCCCAGGGCAGGGGGGUGGAACUGGAUGAUCUUUAAGGUCCUUUCCAACCUGACCCGUUCUGUGAAUUCAGCAUGCUCUGUGACAGGUCCCCUCCAGACACCAGCUGUAGGAAUUACUGAUACUGUGUACUAACCCUCCACCAUGAAUGCAGGAAUUCCCUGCUGCUCUUCUUCCCUGGGUGGGUGACACUGGGAUGCAGUGAGAUGCUCGUGGAUGUUUUUUUUCCCCUCUUUUCCAAAACAGCAACCGAGAAGGCAGUCCGUACACCACGCGUCCCUACGGAACUACAAAUAAACCCGGCGGUUUGAAAAAAAAAAAUAAAUAAAUAGGAAGGUUUAGCAUUGUACUGGAUUUCCUUUCCUUAAGUGCUUCCUUUGGAUCUUGGGAGAAGAGCUCGGGAGCGGGGCGACUUUCUAGCGAGCAGUUGUACCAAAAGGCGUGGGAGGCAGGGUCAGGGAAGAGUCACUCGGUUGUUAUGUGGGUGUGAAAAGCCUAUGAAAAGGAAAGGGCGGAGGAAAAUAUUUUACUUGAAUUAAACAAAUAAAGGAGAAUGUUCUAUGAAUUAGAUAUUUGAUGUUAGAUUUUUUUUUGCCACACAUUUAUGUGAAUUAACUGCGUAUCUUCUGAAAAUCAUUUAUUUAACCAUAAGCUUAUCAAAAUGUUCUCAGAAGGGACUUUUUUUUUUUAAAAAAAAAAAAAAAGGCAACAAAAACAAAAAAAUCAUUGUUUUCUUAUCACUUCAGAUAAAAAGAAAGGAAGUGGCAAAUUUUUA